This 1343-nucleotide ribosomal RNA is filed under the name uncultured bacterium. Its description in RNAcentral is "16S ribosomal RNA". It matches the Rfam family "Bacterial small subunit ribosomal RNA", at positions 28 to 1378 of the family's 1533-position model. The record is from RNAcentral.
GACGAACGCUGGCGGCGUGCUUAACACAUGCAAGUCGAACGGAAAGGCCCUGCUUUUGUGGGGUGCUCGAGUGGCGAACGGGUGAGUAACACGUGAGUAACCUGCCCUUGACUUUGGGAUAACUUCAGGAAACUGGGGCUAAUACCGGAUAGGAGCUCCUGCUGCAUGGUGGGGGUUGGAAAGUUUCGGCGGUUGGGGAUGGAUUCGCGGCUUAUCAGCUUGUUGGUGGGGUAGUGGCUUACCAAGGCUUUGACGGGUAGCCGGCCUGAGAGGGUGACCGGCCACAUUGGGACUGAGAUACGGCCCAGACUCCUACGGGAGGCAGCAGUGGGGAAUAUUGCACAAUGGGCGGAAGCCUGAUGCAGCAACGCCGCGUGCGGGAUGACGGCCUUCGGGUUGUAAACCGCUUUCGCCUGUGACGAAGCGUGAGUGACGGUAAUGGGUAAAGAAGCACCGGCUAACUACGUGCCAGCAGCCGCGGUGAUACGUAGGGUGCGAGCGUUGUCCGGAUUUAUUGGGCGUAAAGGGCUCGUAGGUGGUUGAUCGCGUCGGAAGUGUAAUCUUGGGGCUUAACCCUGAGCGUGCUUUCGAUACGGGUUGACUUGAGGAAGGUAGGGGAGAAUGGAAUUCCUGGUGGAGCGGUGGAAUGCGCAGAUAUCAGGAGGAACACCAGUGGCGAAGGCGGUUCUCUGGGCCUUUCCUGACGCUGAGGAGCGAAAGCGUGGGGAGCGAACAGGCUUAGAUACCCUGGUAGUCCACGCUGUAAACGGUGGGUACUAGGUGUGGGGUCCAUUCCACGGGUUCCGUGCCGUAGCUAACGCUUUAAGUACCCCGCCUGGGGAGUACGGCCGCAAGGCUAAAACUCAAAGGAAUUGACGGGGCCCCGCACAAGCGGCGGAGCAUGCGGAUUAAUUCGAUGCAACGCGUAGAACCUUACCUGGGUUUGACAUGGAUCGGGAGCGCUCAGAGAUGGGUGUGCCUCUUUUGGGGUCGGUUCACAGGUGGUGCAUGGCUGUCGUCAGCUCGUGUCGUGAGAUGUUGGGUUAAGUCCCGCAACGAGCGCAACCCUUGUUCACUGUUGCCAGCACGUUAUGGUGGGGACUCAGUGGAGACCGCCGGGGUCAACUCGGAGGAAGGUGGGGAUGACGUCAAGUCAUCAUGCCCCUUAUGUCCAGGGCUUCACGCAUGCUACAAUGGCUGGUACAGAGAGUGGCGAGCCUGUGAGGGUGAGCGAAUCUCGGAAAGCCGGCCUCAGUUCGGAUUGGGGUCUGCAACUCGACCUCAUGAAGUCGGAGUCGCUAGUAAUCGCAGAUCAGCAACGCUGCGGUGAAUACGUUCCCGGG